RNAcentral lists this ribosomal RNA (328 nucleotides) under uncultured eukaryote. RNAcentral's name for it is "partial 18S ribosomal RNA". It matches the Rfam family "Eukaryotic small subunit ribosomal RNA", at positions 1470 to 1796 of the family's 1831-position model. The record is from RNAcentral.
CCCUUAGAUGUCCUGGGCCGCACGCGCGUUACACUGAUGCAUUCAACGAGCUUAUAACCUUGGCCGAGAGGCCUGGGCAAUCUUGUUAACGUGCAUCGUGAUAGGGAUAGAUUAUUGAAAUUAUUAAUCUUGAACGAGGAAUUCCUAGUAAACGCAGAUCAUCAAUCUGCAUUGAUUACGUCCCUGCCCUUUGUACACACCGCCCGUCGCACCUACCGAUUGGAUGGUCCGGUGAAGCCUCGGGAUUGUGGUUCUUGCCGCUUUAUUGUGGCGUGACCGCGAGAACUUGUCUAAACCUUUUCAUCUAGAGGAAGGUGAAGUCGUAACA